UUCCGGUUGAUCCCGCCGGACCUUACUGCUAUCGGGGUGGGACUAAGACAUGCGAGUCGAGCGUCUCUAGCUAUGUUGAGACGGGGCAGACGGCUCAGUAACACGUGGCUAACCUACCCUCAGGACGAGGACAAACCCGGGAAGCUGGGGCUAAUACUCGAUAGGUGAGGAUAUCUGGAAUGAUUUCUCACUCAAAGGGCCUUGGAAACAUGCUUCCAAUGUCGCCUGGGGAUGGGGCCGCGUCCGAUCAGGUUGUUGGUGGGGUAACGGCUCACCAAGCCUAUAACCGGUACGGGCCGUGAGAGCGGUAGCCCGGAGAUGGGUACUGAGACAAGGACCCAGGCCCUACGGGGCGCAGCAGUCGCGAAAACUCCGCAAUGCACGAAAGUGUGACGGGGCUACCCCGAGUGCCAUCCGCUGAGGAUGGCUUUUCCUUGGUGUAACUAGCCGGGGGAAUAAGGAGAGGGCAAGACUGGUGUCAGCCGCCGCGGUAAUACCAGCUCUCCGAGUGGUAGGGAUGAUUAUUG
This 527-nucleotide ribosomal RNA is filed under the name uncultured archaeon. RNAcentral describes it as "bacterial SSU rRNA". It matches the Rfam family "Archaeal small subunit ribosomal RNA", at positions 1 to 506 of the family's 1478-position model. The record is from RNAcentral.